GACGAACCGAGCGAACGUUGUUCGGAAUCACUGGGCUUAAAGGGCGCGUAGGCGGGUGCUCAAGUCCGUGGUGAAAUCCUCAGGCUCAACCGGAGAACUGCCUCGGAUACUGGGCGUCUCGAGUGUGGUAGGGGUAUGCGGAACUAUCGGUGGAGCGGUGAAAUGCGUUGAUAUCGAUAGGAACUCCGGUGGCGAAGGCGGCAUACUGGACCACCACUGACGCUGAUGCGCGAAAGCCAGGGGAGCGAACGGG
This 253-nucleotide ribosomal RNA is filed under the name uncultured bacterium. RNAcentral's name for it is "partial 16S ribosomal RNA". It matches the Rfam family "Bacterial small subunit ribosomal RNA", at positions 524 to 776 of the family's 1533-position model. The record is from RNAcentral.